AAAAAAAAAAAAAAAGCUUUGAAACAAACAGGAUUGCACGGGUAUGGAUUUCCAGAACCAUCUGACAGUCUCCUUGCCAUCCGUCACAGUGGUAAAGGCAGCAGGGAGCAAAUUAAGCAAAGGCUAGAAUAGCACCCGCAUCUAACUGAGGAAAUAUGGGCAGAAAGGACCUGGCACUGUGAGAACACUUACAAAAACAGCAACACGAUUUAAUUUUAUAUAGCCUUUAAAACUAACGAUACAGCUAUCUUGUAACUCCAAUCCACGUUUCAGAACUGAUACAGAUAUUUGCAGAAAAGACAGAUCCCUAUGCCUGAAUGCACUCAGAAGAAAUUAAAGCUCAGACCCCACCUAAACUGCACUACGUGGCUGCUCCUGGAGCCAGGAGCCAGGUUCAGCAGUCCCAUGUGCCCUACCUUAGUCUCUGUAGCUGCCAUCACGUUACACCAUAAUGAACAGGAAAAUCACAUCACAAGCGGGGAGUGGGAUGGGACAAACAGAUAUCCAAGCCUUCGCAGCAGGAGAUGCUUUGGGCACUGUGUGCUCCCUAAAACAUGCACACUCUGCAGGUCCAUGGCUCUGUCAGCUUGCCAUGUUUGGUGUAUAGGCUGGAGGACAAGUGAACACGACCUGGCACAUGCAAUUAGGAAGCCAGUAACACCUGAGAAGAACAAUGGCUUAGCCUUAACUGGAUUUUUUCCACAUUAUUUAUUCAAAUUUUCAUUUUGGAAGAACGUUGACUAUGUCAAUACACAACCUGAUUUACAGACACCUUCCACAGCCUAUCCACUUACAGUCAAGGACUGUUCAGGGGAAUGCUCACACAGAGAGACCUCUGCCCUUUCCAAUAUUUCUCGUGCAGCAUUCAUUUCAGUGCUGCAAACAGGAGAUGUUAAGAAGAAAAAGCAGAGCCUCCCAGCAAGAAGGAUGAGGAAGGACACCCCAACAAAACCUGAAUUGCAUUACAGCUUUGAGUUAUUCACUUGAAGAAGCUGGAAUUUAACUAAGCAACAAACACUGCUAAGAAACUAUAAAGCUGCAAUGUCUGGACACACAUGAAAGGCAGUAUGAUUUCUGGUUUUGGUUGCUGGGUGUUCCAUGAACUAACCACAGUUUGUACCCUACUACAAAGGGCAUGUCUGUAUUUCUCACUUCUUACACCAGGAAACAGACAGCUAAAGCCACUAAGCCAAACAAAACCAUGGUACAUCAAUAUGUCACUAAAGCCCCAAAAAGGCUGAGCAAGAACAAGAAUUGUGUCAAACGUUUAAAAUCCCUCUGCUUCAACUUUGAAUUUCUCUCUCAAGUCAAGAGGAAUACAGCCAGAAAAUGCCAGAGAAAGCCAACAACACUAUUAGACCAUGCUUCUCUUUGAAAACACGCCUAUUUUGCACCAGACAGAUAGAAGAACACGUGUCUGUUCACGUCUCAAACUGGUUAUAUGUAAAGCCCUGCUGACAGAAUCCUGAGAAAUUUAUUACUAUUAACAGCAAAGCUUUAAUCCUGACCUAUCAGUGAACCACACAGCAACAAAAUGUGUGUUUUGAAGCGAGGGGACACCAGUACUGCAGCUUUUCCCAUGAGGAACAAAAUGCAACGCGAAGGAAGAAAUUGGCGCAUUACCUAAGUCCAUCCUCUCUUCCUCAGCCAGGUGAACAAUGUCACUGUUCUGUGGACAACAGAUAAUAACAGAGCUUAAGCUGCUGCACCCCAAAGCCACACAGGACUAUCUCACAGCAAACUUUAAAAUUCGGGUCACUACUUCUAGUCAUGCACCUGCAGCCAUUUGGCUGAGCUGCUCCCAGUCCUUCCACCUCCAAGCAAUUUAUGGGACUUCACCUGCUAAUUUG
Anser brachyrhynchus (Pink-footed goose) is the source of this 1850-nucleotide long non-coding RNA. NCBI's taxonomy places the organism in Eukaryota, Metazoa, Chordata, Aves, Anseriformes, Anatidae. The record is from Ensembl.